Molecule: ribosomal RNA, 484 nt
Filed under: uncultured bacterium
Lineage: Bacteria
Description: partial 16S ribosomal RNA
Rfam family: Bacterial small subunit ribosomal RNA
Source: RNAcentral
AUUGAACGCUGGCGGCAUGCUUUACACAUGCAAGUCGAACGGCAGCGCGGGCUUCGGCCUGGCGGCGAGUGGCGAGCGGGUGAGUAAUGCAUCGGAACGUGCCCAGUAGUGGGGGAUAGCCCGGCGAAAGCCGGAUUAAUACCGCAUACGACCUGAGGGUGAAAGCGGGGGACCGAAAGGCCUCGCGCUAUAGGAGCGGCCGAUGUCGGAUUAGCUAGUUGGUGGGGUAAAGGCUUACCAAGGCGACGAUCCGUAGCUGGUCUGAGAGGACGACCAGCCACACUGGGACUGAGACACGGCCCAGACUCCUACGGGAGGCAGCAGUGGGGAAUUUUGGACAAUGGGGGCAACCCUGAUCCAGCCAUGCCGCGUGCGGGAAGAAGGCCUUCGGGUUGUAAACCGCUUUUGUUCGGGAAGAAAUCCUCUGGGCUAAUACCCCGGGGGGAUGACGGUACCGGAAGAAUAAGCACCGGCUAACUACGUG